Molecule: ribosomal RNA, 468 nt
Filed under: uncultured bacterium
Lineage: Bacteria
Description: partial 16S ribosomal RNA
Rfam family: Bacterial small subunit ribosomal RNA
Source: RNAcentral
GACGAACGCUGGUGGCGUGCUUAACACAUGCGAGUCGAACGGAAAGGCCCUGCUUUUGUGGGGUGCUCGAGUGGCGAACGGGUGAGUAACACGUGAGUAACCUGCCCUUGACUUUGGGAUAACUUCAGGAAACUGGGGCUAAUACCGGAUAGGAGCUCCUGCUGCAUGGUGGGGGUUGGAAAGUUUCGGCGGUUGGGGAUGGACUCGCGGCUUAUCAGCUUGUUGGUGGGGUAGUGGCUUACCAAGGCUUUGACGGGUAGCCGGCCUGAGAGGGUGACCGGCCACAUUGGGACUGCGAUACGGCCCAGACUCCUACGGGAGGCAGCAGUGGGGAAUAUUGCACAAUGGGCGGAAGCCUGAUGCAGCAACGCCGCGUGCGGGAUGACGGCCUUCGGGUUGUAAACCGCUUUCGCCUGUGACGAAGCGUGAGUGACGGUAAUGGGUAAAGAAGCACCGGCUAACUACGUG